CAAGACCUUGCGCUUUUGGAGCGGCCGAUGUCUGAUUAGCUAGUUGGUGGGGUAAAGGCCUACCAAGGCGACGAUCAGUAGUUGGUCUGAGAGGACGACCAGCCACACUGGGACUGAGACACGGCCCAGACUCCUACGGGAGGCAGCAGUGGGGAAUUUUGGACAAUGGGCGCAAGCCUGAUCCAGCAAUGCCGCGUGAGUGAAGAAGGCCUUCGGGUUGUAAAGCUCUUUCAGUCGAGAAGAAAAGGCUGUGGUAAAUAAUCGCAGCUCAUGACGGUAUCGACAGAAGAAGCACCGGCUAACUACGUGCCAGCAGCCGCGGUAAUACGUAGGGUGCAAGCGUUAAUCGGAAUUACUGGGCGUAAAGGGUGCGCAGGCGGUUUUGUAAGUCAGAUGUGAAAUCCCCGGGCUUAACCUGGGAAUU
RNAcentral lists this ribosomal RNA (424 nucleotides) under uncultured bacterium. RNAcentral describes it as "bacterial SSU rRNA". It matches the Rfam family "Bacterial small subunit ribosomal RNA", at positions 207 to 622 of the family's 1533-position model. The record is from RNAcentral.